ACCGAGCUGCUCUACCAGACGACCUGCUAGAGACGUGUAGGAGGACAUUAGUGAGAAGAGAGGGAAUAAAGUCGAGCUGUACGUGUAGGCUGAAUACGAGACUACAUAGAGGGAGAGAGAGGGAGAGAGAGAGAGAGAGAGAGAGAGAGAGAGAUGGUGGAGCUGCUACACGUUUGGAGAGCACAACAUGCUGCUGCUGCCGCUGGACUCGAGAGGUGUGUGACAGUGCUCCUCCUUCCCAUCACUUGCAGUGUGCAGGCUGGGGGUUGGUUUCUGUCUUUGGUUAUCUAGCUGUAUGAGUCUUAACACAUGUCAUAAAGCUAGAUAACCGAAAGUAGAAAUGAUUCUCAAAAUCUCCUUCUUCGUGUUGUGUUCUGGUGCAGAAGCUGGCGCAACAGUCUCAGAAGCUGCUAAUGAAGCCACUGGACAACCUCCUCUGUACAGAGUGCUCUCCCCAUCCGCAACAUGGCGUAAUGAAGUAACAUGACAGGAGCACAGCCAGCGUGCUGUAGAGGAGGCAGGAGAGACAGAGGCAUGCAGGGAGGGAAAAUGCCUCCAUCUGUGAGCACCGUUCGUCUCCUCAUGCCUGGAAAGCUCUGGUGCCAUCUGUGGCCCUCUGGGGGACAGGGGAAGCCAUGCCCAUGCCACCGGCAACAAAGCCCCCUGUCAGCUCCCUGGAGCCAGGCGCAAUGAGGGAGAGAGGGAGGCCAUCUUGAGGGAAAUCUCACUGAAACAGCUAAGAUGGCUGGACUGGCACACGAGAACUGGCUAAACUGCACCAUUCUGAGAUGUUCAACUUCAGAAGGAGAGACCGGACGACCUCAGUGGGCAGAAUUCUGUGUGGAGUUCUCUGGGAAAGAAUUAAGCUUAUGUAACAUUUCAGUGAGGACGUGUCCUGCAUGUGUCUGGUUACAUUUUUUUUAAUGUUAAUGAACUUCUCUGUACAUGUGUGGAGUCUGAAGGUCAAAUGUGAUUGCUGUAGCUUUAGGAUCUACUUGCAGUGUUCACUGUGGUGUAUUUUAUAUUUUUGAAAUGACUUCAAAAUCUGCAAUUCUUUCACUUGUUUUGGUCUCCAAAUCUGUAAAUAAACAUUUAAAAUAAA
Pygocentrus nattereri (red-bellied piranha) is the source of this 1102-nucleotide long non-coding RNA. RefSeq lists it as uncharacterized. NCBI's taxonomy places the organism in Eukaryota, Metazoa, Chordata, Actinopteri, Characiformes, Serrasalmidae. The transcript has 4 exons. The record is from RefSeq and is a predicted model, not a curated record.